This 74-nucleotide transfer RNA is filed under the name Streptomyces sp. PsTaAH-137. RNAcentral's name for it is "tRNA-Leu". It matches the Rfam family "tRNA". Rfam says of the family: Transfer RNA (tRNA) molecules are approximately 80 nucleotides in length. Their secondary structure includes four short double-helical elements and three loops (D, anti-codon, and T loops). Lineage: Bacteria; Bacillati; Actinomycetota; Actinomycetes; Kitasatosporales; Streptomycetaceae. RNAcentral also lists the same sequence under 4 other names. The record is from RNAcentral.
GCUCCGGUAGCCCAAUCGGCAGAGGCCAUCGUCUCAAACACGAUCCAGUGUGGGUUCAAGUCCCACCCGGAGCA